Molecule: ribosomal RNA, 521 nt
Filed under: uncultured bacterium
Lineage: Bacteria
Description: bacterial SSU rRNA
Rfam family: Archaeal small subunit ribosomal RNA
Source: RNAcentral
AACCUCCGCAAUGUGAGAAAUCGCGACGGGGGGAUCCCAAGUGCCAUUCUUAACGGGAUGGCUUUUCAUUAGUGUAAAGAGCUUUUGGAAUAAGGGCUGGGCAAGACCGGUGCCAGCCGCCGCGGUAACACCGGCAGCUCUAGUGGUAGCAGUUUUUAUUGGGCCUAAAGCGUCCGUAGCCGGUUUAAUAAGUCUCUGGUGAAAUCCUGCAGCUUAACUGUGGGAAUUGCUGGAGAUACUAUUAGACUUGAGACCGGGAGAGGUUAGAGGUACUCCCAGGGUAGAGGUGAAAUUCUGUAAUCCUGGGAGGACCGCCUGUUGCGAAGGCGUCUAACUGGAACGGUUCUGACGGUGAGGGACGAAAGUUAGGGGCGCGAACCGGAUUAGAUACCCGGGUAGUCCUAACCGUAAACGAUGCGGACUUGGUGUUGGGGUGGCUUUGAGCUGCUCCAGUGCCGAAGGGAAGCUGUUAAGUCCGCCGCCUGGGAAGUACGGUCGCAAGACUGAAACUUAAAGGAAUU